This 253-nucleotide ribosomal RNA is filed under the name uncultured bacterium. Its description in RNAcentral is "partial 16S ribosomal RNA". It matches the Rfam family "Bacterial small subunit ribosomal RNA", at positions 524 to 776 of the family's 1533-position model. The record is from RNAcentral.
CACGUAGGGGGCGAGCGUUGUCCGGAUUCAUUGGGCGUAAAGGGCGCGCAGGCGGCUCGGAAAGUCGGGUGUGAAAACUCGGGGCUCAACCCCGGGCGUGCAUCCGAUACUGCCGGGCUUGAGGCAGGUAGGGGCGAUCGGAAUUCCUGGUGUAGCGGUGAAAUGCGCAGAUAUCUGGAGGAACACCGGUGGCGAAGGCGGCAUCCUGGACCGGCAUUGACGCUGAGGCGCGAAAGCUAGGGGAGCAAACGGG